GAUGAACGCUGGCGGCGUGCCUAAUACAUGCAAGUCGAGCGAACAGACGAGGCGCUUGCUCCUCUGACGUUAGCGGCGGACGGGUGAGUAACACGUGGAUAACCUACCUAUAAGACUGGGAUAACUUCGGGAAACCGGAGCUAAUACCGGAUAAUAUAUUGAACCGCAUGGUUCAAUAGUGAAAGACGGUUUUGCUGUCACUUAUAGAUGGAUCCGCGCCGCAUUAGCUAGUUGGGAAGGUAACGGCUUACCAAGGCGACGAUGCGUAGCCGACCUGAGAGGGUGAUCGGCCACACUGGAACUGAGACACGGUCCAGACUCCUACGGGAGGCAGCAGUAGGGAAUCUUCCGCAAUGGGCGAAAGCCUGACGGAGCAACGCCGCGUGAGUGAUGAAGGUCUUCGGAUCGUAAAACUCUGUUAUUAGGGAAGAACAAAUGUGUAAGUAACUAUGCACGUCUUGACGGUACCUAAUCAGAAAGCCACGGCUAACUACGUG
This 497-nucleotide ribosomal RNA is filed under the name uncultured bacterium. Its description in RNAcentral is "partial 16S ribosomal RNA". It matches the Rfam family "Bacterial small subunit ribosomal RNA", at positions 28 to 507 of the family's 1533-position model. The record is from RNAcentral.